CUCGCUGCCUGAUUGAAGCACAGUAAAUCGGCUUUAUCUCCGCAACAGUUGCGGAGACGAGACAUCGCCCGAUUGUCGUCGUCCCGAGACUAAUCGACAAGGCGGUGCAGCUAAAUCGGGAAUAGGCCCUCCCCUGCCUUGCGGGAGAGCUGAAAAUUUAGAGGCUAAGGAUGAGGAUUGGGCGUCGCCGCCCGGCCUCCUCACGACAACAAAUCGGCGAAUAAGCAUGUAGAAAGCAUUCUGAUUCCGCGUUUGGACGAGGGUUCGAAUCCCUCCAGCUCCACUU
Molecule: transfer-messenger RNA, 286 nt
Filed under: Muribaculaceae bacterium
Lineage: Bacteria; Pseudomonadati; Bacteroidota; Bacteroidia; Bacteroidales; Muribaculaceae
Description: partial transfer-messenger RNA
Rfam family: transfer-messenger RNA
About the family: Bacterial tmRNA, also known as 10Sa RNA or SsrA, is named for its dual tRNA and mRNA-like properties. Its role is to liberate the mRNA from a stalled ribosome.
Source: RNAcentral